This 253-nucleotide ribosomal RNA is filed under the name uncultured bacterium. Its description in RNAcentral is "partial 16S ribosomal RNA". It matches the Rfam family "Bacterial small subunit ribosomal RNA", at positions 524 to 776 of the family's 1533-position model. The record is from RNAcentral.
AACGUAGGUGGCAAGCGUUAUCCGGAUUUACUGGGCGUAAAGCGUGCGCAGGCGGCUUUGCAAGACAGAUGUGAAAUCCCCGGGCUUAACCUGGGAACUGCAUUUGUGACUGCAUGGCUGGAGUGCGGCAGAGGGGGAUGGAAUUCCGCGUGUAGCAGUGAAAUGCGUAGAUAUGCGGAGGAACACCGAUGGCGAAGGCAAUCCCCUGGGCCUGCACUGACGCUCAUGCACGAAAGCGUGGGGAGCGAACAGG